RNAcentral lists this small RNA (614 nucleotides) under Pan troglodytes (chimpanzee). RNAcentral's name for it is "retained intron". Lineage: Eukaryota; Metazoa; Chordata; Mammalia; Primates; Hominidae. The record is from RNAcentral.
GCCUUUUGUGCUGCGGCCGCGGAGCCCCCGAGGGCCCAGUGUUCACCAUCAUACCAGGGGCCAGAGGCGAUGGCUUGCCUCCAUGAGACCCGAACACCCUCUCCUUCCUUUGGGGGCUUUGUGUCUACCCUAAGUGAGGCAUCCAUGCGCAAGCUGGACCCAGACACUUCUGACUGCACUCCCGAGAAGGACCUGACGCCUACCCAGUGUGUACUUCGAGAUGUGGUACCCCUUGGUGGGCAGGGUGGGGGAGGGCCCAGCCCCUCCCCAGGUGGAGAGCCGCCCCCUGAGCCUUUUGCCAACAGUGUCCUGCAGCUACAUGAGCAGGAUGCAGGGGGCCCAGGGGGAGCAGCUGGGUCACCUGAGAGUCGGGCAUCCAGAGUUCGAGCUGACGAGGUGCGACUGCAGUGCCAGAGUGGCAGUGGCUUCCUUGAGGGCCUCUUUGGCUGCCUGCGCCCUGUCUGGACCAUGAUUGGCAAAGCCUACUCCACUGAGCACAAGCAGCAGCAGGAAGGUAGGCCACGUCCUUGUGGGAGCCUCCUCUCUGUUUCCCUGAGCCCGAGAUCUGUUGGUCAGCUCCGCUAAAGUCACGCAAUGGUCCCUUCCCUCCCCAU